GACGAACGCUGGCGGCGUGCUUAACACAUGCAAGUCGAGCGGUAAGGCACCUUCGGGUGUACACGAGCGGCGAACGGGUGAGUAACACGUGAGUAACCUGCCCUUCUCAUCGGAAUAAGCGUUGGAAACGACGUCUAAUGCCGAAUAUGACUUCGGACCGCAUGGUCUGAAGUGGAAAGCUCCGGCGGAGAAGGAUGGACUCGCGGCCUAUCAGCUUGUUGGUGAGGUAACGGCUCGCCAAGGCGACGACGGGUAGCCGGCCUGAGAGGGUGACCGGCCACACUGGGGACUGAGACACGGCCCAGACUCCUACGGGAGGCAGCAGUGGGGAAUAUUGGACAAUGGGCGCAAGCCUGAUCCAGCAACGCCGCGUGAGGGAUGACGGCCUUCGGGUUGUAAACCUCUUUCAGCAGGGACGAAGCGCAAGUGACGGUACCUGCAGAAGAAGGACCGGCCAACUACGUGCCAGCAGCCGCGGUAAUACGUAGGGUCCGAGCGUUGUCCGGAAUUAUUGGGCGUAAAGGGCUCGUAGGCGGUUGGUCACGUCGGGAGUGAAAACUCAGGGCUCAACCUGAGCGUGCUUCCGAUACGGGCCGACUAGAGGUAUGCAGGGGAGAACGGAAUUCCUGGUGUAGCGGUGGAAUGCGCAGAUAUCAGGAGGAACACCGGUGGCGAAGGCGGUUCUCUGGGCCAUUACCUGACGCUGAGGAGCGAAAAGGCAUGGGGAGCGAACAGGAUUAGAUACCCUGGUAGU
Molecule: ribosomal RNA, 754 nt
Filed under: uncultured bacterium
Lineage: Bacteria
Description: bacterial SSU rRNA
Rfam family: Bacterial small subunit ribosomal RNA
Source: RNAcentral